GGUGCUGCGCAGCUACCAUGCAGUCGAGCGGAACGAGUUAUCUGAACCUUCGGGGAACGAUAACGGCGUCGAGCGGCGGACGGGUGAGUAAUGCCUAGGAAAUUGCCCUGAUGUGGGGAUAACCAUUGGAAACGAUGGCUAAUACCGCAUGAUGCCUACGGGCCAAAGAGGGGGACCUUCGGGCCUCUCGCGUCAGGAUAUGCCUAGGUGGGAUUAGCUAGUUGGUGAGGUAAGGGCUCACCAAGGCGACGAUCCCUAGCUGGUCUGAGAGGAUGAUCAGCCACACUGGAACUGAGACACGGUCCAGACUCCUACGGGAGGCAGCAGUGGGGAAUAUUGCACAAUGGGCGCAAGCCUGAUGCAGCCAUGCCGCGUGUGUGAAGAAGGCCUUCGGGUUGUAAAGCACUUUCAGUCGUGAGGAAGGUGGUGGUGUUAAUAGCACUAUCAUUUGACGUUAGCGACAGAAGAAGCACCGGCUAACUCCGUGCCAGCAGCCGCGGUAAUACGGAGGGUGCGAGCGUUAAUCGGAAUUACUGGGCGUAAAGCGCAUGCAGGUGGUUUGUUAAGUCAGAUGUGAAAGCCCGGGGCUCAACCUCGGAAUUGCAUUUGAAACUGGCAGACUAGAGUACUGUAGAGGGGGGUAGAAUUUCAGGUGUAGCGGUGAAAUGCGUAGAGAUCUGAAGGAAUACCGGUGGCGAAGGCGGCCCCCUGGACAGAUACUGACACUCAGAUGCGAAAGCGUGGGGAGCAAACAGGAUUAGAUACCCUGGUAGUCCACGCCGUAAACGAUGUCUACUUGGAGGUUGUGGCCUUGAGCCGUGGCUUUCGGAGCUAACGCGUUAAGUAGACCGCCUGGGGGAGUACGGUCGCAAGAUUAAAACUCAAAUGAAUUGACGGGGGCCCGGCACAAGCGGUGGGAGCAUGGUGGUUUAAUUCGAUGCAACGCGAAGAACCUUACCUACUCUUGACAUCCAGAAGAACUUUCCAGAAGAUGGAUUGGGUGCCUUCGGGAACUCUGAAAACAGGUGCUGCAUGGCUGUCGUCAGCUCGGUGUUGGUGAAUGUUGGGGAUAAGUCCCGCAACGAGCGCCACCCCAUUUAUCCAUUGAUUGCAGGCGGAGUAAUGGUCAGGUACCUCCAAGGGAAAACCUGGCCGGGUGAAUAACCGGGAGGAAGGGGGGGGGACCACACAGCUUCGAGGUCCACUUCCAG
Molecule: ribosomal RNA, 1211 nt
Filed under: Vibrio parahaemolyticus
Lineage: Bacteria; Pseudomonadati; Pseudomonadota; Gammaproteobacteria; Vibrionales; Vibrionaceae
Description: bacterial SSU rRNA
Rfam family: Bacterial small subunit ribosomal RNA
Source: RNAcentral